CUGGCGGGGGGACAACGCGAGGCUGGGGGCCGUGGGCUGGGGGCGCAGUGGGCCUGGCUGGGGGCGGGGUGGGGGCUGCGCCGCGGGGCCCGGCGGCGCCCGGCACCACCCCCCGUCCCCCGCUGCCUCCCCUUCCGCUCCCCGGAAGCGCUGAGUCGUCCUGCCUUAUCUGGGGGCCGCUAUUUCGGGCUCCGCUCCGAGCGCGGUGACUAUUUUUAGCCGCGCUCGGGUAAAAAUGGACGCGGCGCCGCGCGGGUUCGCGAGGCCGCGCGCGUCCCCUCGCGAGAACUGCGGCCGCGCGCGCUCCCUUCGCGAGAACUGCGGCCGCGCGCGCCCCCACCUCCCCCUCGCGAGAACUGCAGCCGCGAGCGCGCGCGCGCCUGAGUCACCCCCGCCCGCUCCCCCGCGCGGCGAGGAGUGCGGCCGCCGGCUCGCGACGCUCUGCAUCCGCUCGAGCAUCUCCGGCUCCCGGGCGCCUGGAAGCCGGCGGGGCGCAGAAUGUUCCAGGAACGUCGGGACGUGUCCACCGAUGGCGGACUUUUGGGCGGAGGCGCCGCGCCCCCUGGCGGCCCCCGCGGGGAUUGCAGGCGGGAGCUGGACCAGGAGUCCAUCCCUCCGCACGCCCGUUUUCUCCAGGAGGAAACUGAGGCCGGGAGCGGAACUGGGUGGGGGCCUUGCAGCGUGGAUUGCAAGAUCUGGAGAGGAAGCAGCGGGGGCCUGAGCUGGCAGAGCGUAGAUUGCAAGAGCUUUCACAGCGGGAUCCUUCAGCUUCGAGUUGGUUCCAUCCUGUGCUUGGGAGCUCGUUACCUCCCGGCAUGUAGAUACCAUUCAUCAGCAGCAGUAGUAAUAUCGAUUACUAUUUAAAAAAUAAUCGCUGCUAUUUAUCCAGCACCUGCUCUUUGCCCAGCGGUCUGCUAAAUGCCUUACCUGCAUUAUUUCACUGAAUCUUCACCCUCGACCUAAGAGGUGAAGUAUUGUUUUCUCCCCCAUGAACAGACGUGGAGACCUGUGUCCCCACCUUCCUUUCCUCCCAGCCACCUGGGCGUCUGUGGCUUCCAAGGCCUUCUGCUGUCUUUUGGGAAACCUCUCCUUUUUAAAUUUCAGUUCACCUGGUUGUCUUGGGGCUCACCCCAUCCUCCUUUUCCAGGGAGGGGCACAUGAUCCAGGCCCAAGCAACCAGAGCAUUCCAGUUCUUCUGUCCUCUGAUGACAGUGAUUGGUUCAGAGGCACAGACCGGGAUGGGAACCUGGGCGCCGAGGCUGCCUUCCCCGGCAGGGCCACAUUCCACAGUCAUCACCGGCUGAUGGUGAGGUUACCUUACUGCACUGUUCUCCUCCCACUGUCACGCUUUCAACCCUGUCUGAGCUCUGACUGCCUCCCAGUCUCAGCCCCACCAUCUCUUCUGCACUCAAGACCCAAGUGUCUGGCCGCUCUGGGAAGCCUCCCCCUGGAUGUCCCCCAGGAUUUCACCCUGACCUCAACAGCUUCCUUCCUGUGCCUCUUCCUCCCGGAUCCCCAGCUCAGGCACGGUCCCAUCACUGACUCUUGUCUCCUGAACCAGAGGCCUGGGCCUCCUCCUGGAUGCCUUCUUCCCCUCCCCUCCCAUAGCCCAUCCCUCUUCUCAUUCUAUCUUUUAAAGAUUUCGUAUGUUGUCCCUCUUCCCUCUCCCUGCUUGAUGCCUUGAGACCCUCCUGGUCUCCUGCCCCAGCCUCACUUCCUCCCAUCCAGAAGGAUCUUGCUAAACCACAAACGUGCCCCUGUCGGGUCUUGCCCCUGCUCAGAGCCUGCAAUGGCUCCCUCGGGCUCCAGUCCCCUGACUACGUGGCCCUCGGUGGCCUCACGCUGCUGCCUUCUUCAACCCCAUCUCUCGCCCCCGCCCUUUUCCCAGCACACCUGCCCUCAGCCCUUGAAUAAUCCCCAGACUGCUUGCCUUUUUGCACACGCAUCGUGGUCCAGCCUCCCGACCGUGAACAUUCAGUUUCCUCUGCUGGAAUCCCUUUCCCACGCUUCUCCACCCGGCGGAUGUUUCUCCAUCCUUCCGGGUCCAACUCCACCGUCCCCUCCGUUGAGUUCCCCCUAAACCCUCGGGGGAUAGGAACAAACACUCCCGGUUUCUGGAUGAAGAAACUGAAGCUCAGCGAGGACAAGCGACUCAUGGAAGGAAUCAGAGCCAGGGAGUGGGCAGAGUCAGGAUUUGGACUGAGGACCUCACCGCAGCCUGGCUCAUCUGGUUGUGUUGAGUGUUAUCUCAGCUUGGUCGGUUUUUAUUUUAUAACAUUCUCAACAGAGGCACACGUGUAUGUAAUUUAUGAAUAAAAAAUAAACUCCAUAUGCAGAGUGGC
This is a long non-coding RNA of Equus caballus (horse), 2342 nucleotides long. The record is from Ensembl. Lineage: Eukaryota; Metazoa; Chordata; Mammalia; Perissodactyla; Equidae.